GAUGAACGCUGGCGGCGUGCCUAAUACAUGCAAGUAGAACGCUGAAGGAGGAGCUUGCUCUUCUGGAUGAGUUGCGAACGGGUGAGUAACGCGUAGGUAACCUGCCUGGUAGCGGGGGAUAACUAUUGGAAACGAUAGCUAAUACCGCAUGACAACAGUUAUUGCAUGAUAACUGUUUAAAAGGGGCAACUGCUCCACUACCAGAUGGACCUGCGUUGUAUUAGCUAGUUGGUGAGGUAACGGCUCACCAAGGCGACGAUACAUAGCCGACCUGAGAGGGUGAUCGGCCACACUGGGACUGAGGCACGGCCCAGACUCCUACGGGAGGCAGCAGUAGGGAAUCUUCGGCAAUGGACGGAAGUCUGACCGAGCAACGCCGCGUGAGUGAAGAAGGUUUUCGGAUCGUAAAGCUCUGUUGUAAGAGAAGAACGAGUGUGAGAGUGGAAAGUUCACACUGUGACGGUAUCUUACCAGAAAGGGACGGCUAACUACGU
This 494-nucleotide ribosomal RNA is filed under the name uncultured bacterium. Its description in RNAcentral is "partial 16S ribosomal RNA". It matches the Rfam family "Bacterial small subunit ribosomal RNA", at positions 28 to 506 of the family's 1533-position model. The record is from RNAcentral.